RNAcentral lists this ribosomal RNA (839 nucleotides) under uncultured bacterium. Its description in RNAcentral is "bacterial SSU rRNA". It matches the Rfam family "Bacterial small subunit ribosomal RNA", at positions 62 to 914 of the family's 1533-position model. The record is from RNAcentral.
UCGACGAUUAAGCACCUUUACGGUGUGUAUAAAGUGGCGAACGGCUGAGUAACACGUGGGCAACCUGCCCUUUGCACUGGGAUAGCCUCGGGAAACCGAGGUUAAUACCGGAUACUCCAUAUAUAUCGCAUGAUGUAUAUGGGAAAGCUCCGACGGCAAAGGAUGGGCCCGCGGCCUGUUAGCUAGUUGGUGGGGUAACGGCCUACCAAGGCAAUGAUGGGUAGCCGGGUUGAGAGACCGACCGGCCAGAUUGGGACUGAGACACGGCCCAGACUCCUACGGGAGGCAGCAGUGGGGAAUCUUGCACAAUGGGCGAAAGCCUGAUGCAGCGACGCCGCGUGCGGGAUGAAGGCCUUCGGGUUGUAAACCGCUUUCAGCAGGGACGAGGCCGCAAGGUGACGGUACCUGCAGAAGAAGCCCCGGCUAACUACGUGCCAGCAGCCGCGGUAAUACGUAGGGGGCAAGCGUUAUCCGGAUUCAUUGGGCGUAAAGCGCGCGUAGGCGGUUUGUUAGGUCAGGAGUUAAAUCUGGGGGCUCAACCCCUAUCCGCUCCUGAUACCGGCAGGCUUGAGUCUGGUAGGGGAAGGCGGAAUUCCAAGUGUAGCGGUGAAAUGCGCAGAUAUUUGGAAGAACACCGGUGGCGAAGGCGGCCUUCUGGGCCACGACUGACGCUGAGGCGCGAAAGCUAGGGGAGCGAACAGGAUUAGAUACCCUGGUAGUCCUAGCCGUAAACGAUGGACACUAGGUGUGGGGAGAUUAUACUUUCCGUGCCGCAGCCAACGCAUUAAGUGUCCCGCCUGGGGAGUACGGUCGCAAGACUAAAACUCAAAGGAAUUGAC